UACGAAGGGGGCUAGCGUUGCUCGGAUUGACUGGGCGUAAAGGGCGCGUAGGCGGUCACCACAAGUCAGUUGUGAAAUCUCCGGGCUUAACUCGGAAAGGUCAACUGAUACUGUGCGACUAGAGUGCAGAAGGGGCAACUGGAAUUCUCGGUGUAGCGGUGAAAUGCGUAGAUAUCGAGAGGAACACCUGCGGCGAAGGCGGGUUGCUGGGCUGACACUGACGCUGAUGCGCGAAAGCCAGGGGAGCGAACAGG
Molecule: ribosomal RNA, 254 nt
Filed under: uncultured bacterium
Lineage: Bacteria
Description: partial 16S ribosomal RNA
Rfam family: Bacterial small subunit ribosomal RNA
Source: RNAcentral